Molecule: ribosomal RNA, 419 nt
Filed under: uncultured eukaryote
Lineage: Eukaryota
Description: bacterial SSU rRNA
Rfam family: Eukaryotic small subunit ribosomal RNA
Source: RNAcentral
CAAUAGCGUAUAUUAUAGUUGUUGCAGUUAAAAAGCUCGUAGUUGGACUUCUGAUGUGGGGAUUCGGUCCACCGCAAGGUGAGCACUGAUGUCCUUGCGUCUUCCUCUCGUAGUUGUUUGGCGCACUUAGUUGGGUGCCAGAUGAAUAUGGGACCUUUACUUUGAAAAAUUAGAGUGUUUAAAGCAGGCAUUUGCUGUGAAUACAUUAGCAUGGAAUAAUAAGAUAGGACUUUGGUGCUAUUUUGUUGGUUUGCACGCCAAGGUAAUGAUUAACAGGGACAGUUGGGGGUAUUCGUAUUUUGAUGUCAGAGGUGAAAUUCUUGGAUUUUCGAAAGACGAACUUCUGCGAAAGCAUUUACCAAGGAUGUUUUCAUUAAUCAAGAACGAAAGUUAGGGGAUCGAAGAUGAUCAGAUACCAU